RNAcentral lists this transfer RNA (73 nucleotides) under Stegodyphus mimosarum. It matches the Rfam family "tRNA". From Rfam's summary of the family: Transfer RNA (tRNA) molecules are approximately 80 nucleotides in length. Their secondary structure includes four short double-helical elements and three loops (D, anti-codon, and T loops). The record is from Rfam by way of RNAcentral. Lineage: Eukaryota; Metazoa; Arthropoda; Arachnida; Araneae; Eresidae.
GCCUCCAUGGUGUAAUGGUCAGCACACUCGGCGCGAAUUCAGAGGGCUCGGGGUUCGAGUCCCGGUGAGGGCA